CAGAGGGUUUGAUUCUGGGCUCUCCAGAUUGAACGCUGGCGGAUGCUUUACAAGGCGGUCGAAUGGCAGCACGGACUUCGGUUCAGCGGCGAGUGGCGAACGGGUGAGUAAUGAAUGAACGUGCCUAGGUAGCGGGGGAUAACUACGCGAAAGCGUAGCUAAUACCUGCCACCGCCCUUCGGGGAAAGCGGGGACCUUUCGGGCCUCGCACUAUUAGAGCGGUUGACACAUCGGAUUAGCCAGCUGGACAGGUGAACGGCUCACCAAAGACGUGAUCCAGAAGCUGGUUUGGAGAGGAAUGACCAGCCACACUGGGACUGAGACACGGCCCAGACUCCUACGGAGGCAGCAGUGGGGAAUUUUGGAUAAUGGGGGAAACCCUGAUCCAGCUAUCUUAUGUGUGUGCGAUGAAGGCUCCUCGGGUUAAAGCACUUUGGCAGGAAAGAAACGGCACGAUAAUACCCGCAACUGGACGCACCUGCAGAAUAAGCACCUCGGCUAACUACGCCAGCAGCCGCGGUAAUACGUAGGGUGCAAGCGUUAAUCGAAUUACCGGUAGCGUGUGCAGGCGGUUCGGAGCAAAGAUGAAAUCCCAGAGCUUAACUUUGAACUGCAUUUUUAACUACCGGAGCUAGAGCAGGUCAGAGGGAGGUGGAAUUCCGCGUGGAAGUAGUGAAAUGCGUAGAUAUGAGGAACACCGAUGGCGAAGGCAGCCUCCUGGGAUAACACCGACGCUCAUGCACGAAAGCGUGGGGAGCAAACAGGAUUAGAUACCCUGGUAGUCCACGCCCUAAACGAUGUCAACUAGCUGCCGGGGCCUUCGCCUUGGUAGCGCAGCUAACGCGUGAAGUUGACCGCCUGGGGAGUACGGUCGCAAGAUUAAAACUCAAAGGAAUUGACGGGGACCCGCACAAGCGGUGGAUGAUGGAUUAAUUCGAUGCAACGCGAAAAACCUUACCUACUCCUUGACAUGUCUGGAAUCCCGAAGAGAUUUGGGAGCAGCCGCAAGAGAACUGAACACAGGUGCUGCAUGGUUGUCGUCACUGUAAGUCAGAGAUGUUGGGUUAAAAGUCCUUUAUGAACGAGCGCAACCCUUGUCAUUAGUUGCUACGAAAGGGCAACUCCUAACGAGACUGCCGGUGACAAACCGAGGAAGGUGGGGAUGACGUCAAGUCCUCAUGGCCCUUAUGGUAGGGUCACACGUCAUACAAUGGUCGGGACAGAGGGUCGCCAUUCCGCGAGGGGGAGCCAAUCCCAGAAACCCGACCGUAGUCCGGCUGGAUCGCAGUCUGCAACUCGACUGCGUGAAGUCGGAAUCGCCAGUAAUCGCGGAUCAGGCAUGUCGCGGUGAAUACGUUCCCGGGUCUUGUACACACCGCCCGCCGCACCAUGGAGGUUUUACCAGAAGGCGUAGUUACCUAACCGUAAGGAGGGCGAUUACCACGGUAGGAUUCAUGACUGGGGUGACGUAACAGGUAA
RNAcentral lists this ribosomal RNA (1479 nucleotides) under uncultured Bordetella sp. RNAcentral's name for it is "partial 16S-23S ribosomal RNA intergenic spacer". It matches the Rfam family "Bacterial small subunit ribosomal RNA". The record is from RNAcentral. Lineage: Bacteria; Pseudomonadati; Pseudomonadota; Betaproteobacteria; Burkholderiales; Alcaligenaceae.